CCAGGGUCCGCAGAGGAAAGAGCUCCUGUAGAGUCCUAGAAGGAAUGACAACGCUCUGCCUCAGCUCCCGCUUGACAGGGAAACUACUCAGCAACUUUCAUUUAGACAUGAGGGAGUCUCUGUACAAGACGGUGAACGGGUCAUUCUGAAGUCAGACACAGAAACCACAGAGAUAGGUCCUCUGACCACUAAGUUCAGAGAAAACUUGUUUUGCAUAUCCAGGCUAAUACAACAGCCAUGUAACCCCAUUUAAGUUUCCCAUCAGGGCCUGGGAAAGAUGGGGGAGAAGCGACAGCUAAUUGUCACCACAUUGAGAAGCAAGUUCAUACUCCUGUUAAGGCAACCUGUUUU
This is a long non-coding RNA of Falco peregrinus (peregrine falcon), 351 nucleotides long. RefSeq lists it as uncharacterized. The record is from RefSeq and is a predicted model, not a curated record. The transcript is spliced from 3 exons. Lineage: Eukaryota; Metazoa; Chordata; Aves; Falconiformes; Falconidae.